GACGAACGCUGGCGGCGCGCCUAACACAUGCAAGUCGAACGAGCGAGAGAGAGCUUGCUUUCUCGAGCGAGUGGCGAACGGGUGAGUAACGCGUGAGGAACCUGCCUCAAAGAGGGGGACAACAGUUGGAAACGACUGCUAAUACCGCAUAAGCCCACUACCCGGCCUCGGGUAGAGGGAAAAGGAGCAAUCCGCUUUGAGUUGGCCUCGCGUCCGAUUAGCUAGUUGGUGAGGUAACGGCCCACCAAGGCGACGAUCGGUAGCCGGACUGAGAGGUUGAACGGCCACAUUGAGACUGGGCAACGGCCCAGACUCCUACGGGAGGCAGCAGUGGGGAAUAGUGCAACAUGGGGGAAACCCUGAUGCAGCGACGCCGCGUGGAGGAAGAAGGUCUUCGGAUUGUAAACUCCUGUUGUUGAGGAAGAUAAUGACGGUACUCAACAAGGAAGUGACGGCUAACUACGUG
Molecule: ribosomal RNA, 466 nt
Filed under: uncultured bacterium
Lineage: Bacteria
Description: partial 16S ribosomal RNA
Rfam family: Bacterial small subunit ribosomal RNA
Source: RNAcentral